GCUAUAUACAGGGUGUUACGGUACAGAGUCAAUGUGUAGACUACAUACAGGGGGUACCGGUACAGAGUCAAUGUGGAGACUAUAUACAGGGGGGUACCGGUACAGAGUCAAUGUGGAGACUAUAUACAGGGGGGUACCGGUACAGAGUCAAUGUGGAGACUAUAUACAGGGUGUUACGGUACAGAGUCAAUGUGGAGACUAUAUACAGGGGGGUACCAGUACAGAGUCAAUGUGGAGGCUAUAUACAGGGUGUACCAGUACAGAGUCAAUGUGGAGGCUAUAUACAGGGUGUUACGGUACAGAGUCAAUGUGGAGGCUAUAUAUAGGGUGUUACGGUGCAGAGUCAAUGUGGAGGCUAUAUACAGGGGGUACCAGUACAGAGUCAAUGUGGAGGCUAUAUACAGGGUGUUACGGUACAGAGUCAAUGUGGAGGCUAUAUACAGGGGGUACCGGUACAG
RNAcentral lists this long non-coding RNA (458 nucleotides) under Salmo salar (Atlantic salmon). Its description in RNAcentral is "lncRNA (ENSSSAG00000095253.1)". The record is from RNAcentral. Lineage: Eukaryota; Metazoa; Chordata; Actinopteri; Salmoniformes; Salmonidae.